GGAGUGGCCCGGAUGGUCGCGGCAGGCGGUUUUUUCGUUCUGUCGAGGAAAGUCCGGGCUGCACUGGGUAUGGAUGCCGGAUAACGUCCGGCGGGGGCGACCCCGGGAAAGUGCCACAGAGAGUAGACCGCCGGACAUCGUUCGAUAAGGACGAAGGGUUCGGUAAGGGUGAAAGGGUGCGGUAAGAGCGCACCGCCCCGCGCGGUAACGGGCGGGGGCACGGUAAACCCCAUCCGCAGCAAGGCCAAAUAGGGAAGCAUCAGGCGUGACCCGCGCCGCUUCCGGGUAGGCUGCUAGAGUGUGCCAGCAAUGGCAGACCCAGAGGAAUGACCAUCAUCCGCCGCUUGCGGCGGAUACAGAACCCGGCUUACAGGGCCACUCCGCUU
RNAcentral lists this RNase P RNA (386 nucleotides) under Mariprofundaceae bacterium. Its description in RNAcentral is "RNase P RNA component class A". It matches the Rfam family "Bacterial RNase P class A". From Rfam's summary of the family: Ribonuclease P (RNase P) is a ubiquitous endoribonuclease, found in archaea, bacteria and eukarya as well as chloroplasts and mitochondria. Its best characterised activity is the generation of mature 5'-ends of tRNAs by cleaving the 5'-leader elements of precursor-tRNAs. The record is from RNAcentral. Lineage: Bacteria; Pseudomonadati; Pseudomonadota; Candidatius Mariprofundia; Mariprofundales; Mariprofundaceae.